CCUACGGGAGGCUGCAGUGGGGAAUAUUGCACAAUGGGGGAAACCCUGAUGCAGCGACGCCGCGUGAGUGAAGAAGUAAUUCGUUAUGUAAAGCUCUAUCAGCAGGGAAGAAAAUGACGGUACCUGACUAAGAAGCCCCGGCUAACUACGUGCCAGCAGCCGCGGUAAUACGUAGGGGGCGAGCGUUAUCCGGAUUCACUGGGUGUAAGGGGAGCGUAGACGGCCAUGCAAGCCAGGGGUGAAAGCCCGGGGCCCAACCCCGGGACUGCCCUUGGAACUGCAUGGCUGGAGUGCGGGAGGGGCAGGCGGAAUGCCUGGUGUAGCGGUGAAAUGCGUAGAUAUCAGGAGGAACACCGGCGGCGAAGGCGGCCUGCUGGACCGCGACUGACGUUGAGGCUCGAAAGCGUGGGGAGCGAACAGGAUUAGAUACCCCAGUAGUC
RNAcentral lists this ribosomal RNA (440 nucleotides) under uncultured bacterium. RNAcentral's name for it is "partial 16S ribosomal RNA". It matches the Rfam family "Bacterial small subunit ribosomal RNA", at positions 338 to 795 of the family's 1533-position model. The record is from RNAcentral.